Molecule: unclassified non-coding RNA, 263 nt
Filed under: plant metagenome
Description: partial contains small subunit ribosomal RNA, internal transcribed spacer 1, and 5.8S ribosomal RNA
Source: RNAcentral
UUUCCGUAGGUGAACCUGCGGAAGGAUCAUUAUUGUGUAACCGAGGUGCGAGGGCUGUCGCUGACCCGAAAGGUCGUGCACGCCCGAGUGCCCUCACACACAUCCAUCUCACCCCUAUAUGCACCACCGCGUGGGUCCCCCUUUGGCUUGUUCGGAGGGGGGCUUACGUUUUCACACAAACUUUGUAUGCAGUGUAGAAUGUAUUUUUUGUUUUUGCGAUCACGCAAUCAAUACAACUUUCAACAACGGAUCUCUUGGCUCUC